RNAcentral lists this ribosomal RNA (114 nucleotides) under Pogona vitticeps (central bearded dragon). Lineage: Eukaryota; Metazoa; Chordata; Lepidosauria; Squamata; Agamidae. The record is from RNAcentral.
AUUUUCAUACCACCUUGAAUAUAUCUGAUCUUACCUGAUUUCAGAAGCUAACAGGGUUGGGCUUGCUUUGCACUUAGCUCAGAGACCACUAAGGAGUAUAAGGACCUCUAAAUA